GACGAACGCUGGCGGCGUGCUUAACACAUGCAAGUCGAACGGAAAGGCCCUGCUUUUGUGGGGUGCUCGAGUGGCGAACGGGUGAGUAACACGUGAGUAACCUGCCCUUGACUUUGGGAUAACUUCAGGAAACUGGGGCUAAUACCGGAUAGGAGCUCCUGCUGCAUGGUGGGGGUUGGAAAGUUUCGGCGGUUGGGGAUGGACUCGCGGCUUAUCAGCUUGUUGGUGGGGUAGUGGCUUACCAAGGCUUUGACGGGUAGCCGGCCUGAGAGGGUGACCGGCCACAUUGGGACUGGGAUACGGCCCAGACUCCUACGGGAGGCAGCAGUGGGGAAUAUUGCACAAUGGGCGGAAGCCUGAUGCAGCAACGCCGCGUGCGGGAUGACGGCCUUCGGGUUGUAAACCGCUUUCGCAUGUGACGAAGCGUGAGUGACGGUAAUGGGUAAAGAAGCACCGGCUAACUACGUG
Molecule: ribosomal RNA, 468 nt
Filed under: uncultured bacterium
Lineage: Bacteria
Description: partial 16S ribosomal RNA
Rfam family: Bacterial small subunit ribosomal RNA
Source: RNAcentral